Molecule: ribosomal RNA, 468 nt
Filed under: uncultured bacterium
Lineage: Bacteria
Description: partial 16S ribosomal RNA
Rfam family: Bacterial small subunit ribosomal RNA
Source: RNAcentral
GACGAACGCUGGCGGCGUGCUUAACACAUGCAAGUCGAACGGAAAGGCCCUGCUUUUGUGGGGUGCUCGAGUGGCGAACGGGUGAGUAACACGUGAGUAACCUGCCCUUCACUCUGGGAUAACUCUUGGAAACUGGGGCUAAUACCGGAUAUGAGCUAUUGCAGCAUGGGGGUUGUUGGAAAGUUUCGGCGGUUGGGGUUAGACUAGAGGCUUAUCAGCUUUUUGGUGGGGUAGUGGCUUACCAAGGGUGUGGCGGGUAGGCGGCCUGGCGGGGUGGCCGGGCACAAUGGGACUGGGAGACGGCCCAGACUCCUACGGGAGGCAACAGGGGGGAAUAUUGCACAAUGGGGGGGAGCCUGAUGCAACAAUGCCGGGGGCGGGAUGACGGGCUUCGGGGUGGAAACCGCUUUCGACGGGGACGAAGCGGUAGUGACGGUAAUGGGUAAAGAAGCAACGGCUAACUACGUG